UANGCCUUGACAUACUACAGAAUUUGACAGAGAUGUUGAAGUGCCUUCGGGAGCUGUAAUACAGGUGCUGCACGGCUGUCGUCAGCUCGUGUCGUGAGAUGUUGGGUUAAGUCCCGCAACGAGCGCAACCCUCGUCCUUAGUUACUAACGGUUUGGCCGAGGACUCUAAGGAGACUGCCUUCGUAAGGAGGAGGAAGGUGAGGACGACGUCAAGUCAUCAUGGCCCUUACGGCUAGGGCAACACACGUGCUACAAUGGUUAGGACAAUGAGAAGCGAUACCGCGAGGUGGAGCAAAUCUAUAAACCUAAUCUCAGUUCGGAUAGCAGUCUGCAACUCGACUGCUUGAAGCUGGAAUCACUAGUAAUCGUAAAUCAGCUAUGUUACGGUGAAUACGUUCCCGGGUCU
This 406-nucleotide ribosomal RNA is filed under the name uncultured bacterium. Its description in RNAcentral is "bacterial SSU rRNA". It matches the Rfam family "Bacterial small subunit ribosomal RNA", at positions 975 to 1381 of the family's 1533-position model. The record is from RNAcentral.